CUUCGACACACAUAAUCUUCACUCUCUCAAACAACCACCACUACACAAAUGCACAGCCGUGAAGCUCGAUUCGUCCUCCAUCAUUCAUGUUAACACAUUAGAAAAUAUAAACCUCCGCCUCUAACUCUCCCUCAACACCGUACAAACACCAAUACUUCCCAUCUUCCACUUUGCUCCACCGCUGCAACUUCAUACUAAGCAAGUUGUGAAUCACCAAACAACCGCAUGCAUUUUCU
RNAcentral lists this long non-coding RNA (236 nucleotides) under Lathyrus oleraceus (garden pea). Its description in RNAcentral is "Pisum sativum (pea) long non-coding RNA (PSAT_LNC000143)". The record is from RNAcentral. Lineage: Eukaryota; Viridiplantae; Streptophyta; Magnoliopsida; Fabales; Fabaceae.